AUCUAAGCGGGAAACCAGCCACAAGAUAAGUUCUCCCUUGUCGCAAGACACUGAAGAUCCCAGGCAGACCACCUGGUAGAUAGGCCGGAAGUGUAAGCGCAGUAAUGUGUUCAGCUGACCGGUACUAAUAGAUCGUGAGUCUUAACUCU
This 149-nucleotide ribosomal RNA is filed under the name Desulfomicrobium apsheronum. Its description in RNAcentral is "23S rRNA. Bacterial LSU". It matches the Rfam family "Bacterial large subunit ribosomal RNA", at positions 2779 to 2925 of the family's 2925-position model. Lineage: Bacteria; Pseudomonadati; Thermodesulfobacteriota; Desulfovibrionia; Desulfovibrionales; Desulfomicrobiaceae. The record is from RNAcentral.